Molecule: long non-coding RNA, 498 nt
Filed under: Bos taurus (domestic cattle)
Lineage: Eukaryota; Metazoa; Chordata; Mammalia; Artiodactyla; Bovidae
Description: long non-coding RNA NONBTAT012026
Source: RNAcentral
CCACAGCAAUGGUGUUAAUUACACAUUUACAUACAGUAUCAAGAGAAAGAGCUGCCAUUUUUGGAGGAAACAGCUCGUGAAGGUUACCUUUAGAAACCUCCUUUGACAUACCAGUUGUUGAGAACUAUUAACAGAAAGUUAAAACUAAGUUAAUACAUUUAAGUAGCCAAGGCAGAAACGUGUUGCAACUGAAAAAAAAAAAAAAAGGCCAUUGAGGUUAAGAAUCUUGUGGAAAAUGACAGUCAGAAGGCAAGAAUAUAGUAAUACAACCGGCAAGGAUCAGUUUCUUAGACAACAAAACCAGUGCAGUAGCGGGGUGCCAUUCAGCCUCUUUACUGGCUUCAGAGCGUGCGUCCGCCAAGCAGGCCCAGGCCCAGAGCUCCAACAGUUCCAGUUCUCAGGCUUCAGCUCUGCAGCAGUGACUGACCGUCUGUCCUACUGCAAAAAUGCAAAGGCAACCCUACACGUUGGGAACAGAAAUGUCAGUCAGAACCUCUG